This 1185-nucleotide ribosomal RNA is filed under the name uncultured fungus. Its description in RNAcentral is "eukaryotic LSU rRNA". The stretch from base 550 to 1185 matches the Rfam family "Eukaryotic large subunit ribosomal RNA", at positions 1 to 648 of the family's 3401-position model. Lineage: Eukaryota; Fungi. The record is from RNAcentral.
AAGUCGUAACAAGGUUUCCGUAGGUGAACCUGCGGAAGGAUCAUUACCGAGUUAGGGUCUUCCAGGCCCGACCUCCCAACCCUUUGUUGACUAUACCAUGUUGCUUUGGUGGGCCCGCCUUUAGGGGCUCCCGGGGACAUUUAUGCCCCUGGUCAGUGCCCGCCAGUAGCCUUCUAAAAUUCUUUUCUAAUUAUGUCGUCUGAGUACAAAUAUAUCAAUCGUUAAAACUUUCAACAACGGAUCUCUUGGUUCUGGCAUCGAUGAAGAACGCAGCGAAAUGCGAUAAGUAAUGCGAAUUGCAGAAUUCAGUGAGUCAUCGAAUCUUUGAACGCAUAUUGCGCCCUUUGGUAUUCCGAAGGGCAUGCCUGUUCGAGCGUCAUUACCAACCAUCAAGCCUAGCUUGUCGUUGGACCUCUUUUGCCACUGAAAUAUAUGUGGCAGGUCCGAAAGAAAAUGACGGUGUCGUGUUUGACCCUAGAUGCAACGAGCUUUUCAUAGCACGCAUUGAAGUGGUCGGGCGACCUAGUCUUAACUAUUUUUUCUAAAGGUUGACCUCGGAUCAGGUAGGAAUACCCGCUGAACUUAAGCAUAUCAAUAAGCGGAGGAAAAGAAACCAACAGGGAUUACCCUAGUAACGGCGAGUGAAGCGGUAAUAGCUCAAAUUUGAAAUCUGACCUUCACGGGUUCGAGUUGUAAUUUGUAGAGGAUGUUUCGGGCAAAGACUUUUGGUUUAAGUUUCUUGGAACAGAACGUCAUAGAGGGUGAGAGUCCCGUCUAGAACCGAUAGUCGCUGUCCAUGUGAAACUCCUUCGAUGAGUCGAGUUGUUUGGGAAUGCAGCUCAAAAUGGGUGGUAAAUUUCAUCUAAAGCUAAAUAUUGGCCAGAGACCGAUAGCGCACAAGUAGAGUGAUCGAAAGAUGAAAAGCACUUUGAAAAGAGAGUUAAACAGUAUGUGAAAUUGUUGAAAGGGAAGCGCUUGCAACCAGACUUGCGUAUAACGGUUCCCCCAAUCUUUUGACUGGGUUAUUCUGUUAUAUCCAGGCCAGCAUCGGUUCGGGUGGUUGUUUAAAGACCUUGGGAAUGUAUCUACCUUCGGGUCGACUUAUAGCCCAGAGUGUAAUACGGCCUAUCUGGACCGAGGAACGCGCUUUUUUGCUCGGAUGCUGGCGUAAUGGUUGUAAGCGGC